This 68-nucleotide transfer RNA is filed under the name Sminthopsis crassicaudata (fat-tailed dunnart). Its description in RNAcentral is "tRNA-Phe". It matches the Rfam family "tRNA". Rfam says of the family: Transfer RNA (tRNA) molecules are approximately 80 nucleotides in length. Their secondary structure includes four short double-helical elements and three loops (D, anti-codon, and T loops). The record is from RNAcentral. Lineage: Eukaryota; Metazoa; Chordata; Mammalia; Dasyuromorphia; Dasyuridae.
GUUUGUGUAGCUUAACCAAAGCAUAGCACUGAAAAUGCUCAGAUGAAUUUUAAUUAAUUCCACAAGCA